AGCCUGCCUCUGAGCUGAGGCCAGCCACGGGAUCGCCUGCAGACUGGAAAGAAAAGCUAAUUACAGGCAGAACGAUAAUUUGCGUCAAAAUGGAACAAACAGUUGGCAAGCCACUGAGAGACCAGGGUGCAUGGACACAUUUGACAGAGGACAUUCCCAGUGCCAAGAGGUGCACAGUGAUCGGCGGUUCCGGGUUCCUGGGGCAACACAUGGUGGAGCAGUUGCUGGCAAGAGGAUACGCCGUCAACGUCUUCGAUAUCCGGCAAGGGUUUGAUAAUCCCCGGGUGCAGUUCUUUCUGGGUGACCUCUGCAGCCAACAGGAUCUGUACCCAGCACUGAAAGGUGUAAGCACAGUUUUCCACUGUGCAUCACCCCCACCAUCCAGUAACAACAAGGAACUCUUUUAUAGAGUGAAUUACAUUGGCACCAAGAAUGUCAUUGAAACUUGCAAAGAGGCUGGG
Carlito syrichta (Philippine tarsier) is the source of this 461-nucleotide RNA transcript. It is a transcript of the gene named sterol-4-alpha-carboxylate 3-dehydrogenase, decarboxylating pseudogene, with no coding region annotated. The transcript has a single exon. The record is from RefSeq and is a predicted model, not a curated record. Lineage: Eukaryota; Metazoa; Chordata; Mammalia; Primates; Tarsiidae.